GGGGGGAAUUUUGGACAAUGGGCGCAAGCCUGAUCCAGCAAUGCCGCGUGAGUGAAGAAGGCCUUCGGGUUGUAAAGCUCUUUUGUCAGGGAAGAAACGGCCGAGGCUAAUACCUUUGGCUAAUGACGGUACCUGAAGAAUAAGCACCGGCUAACUACGUGCCAGCAGCCGCGGUAAUACGUAGGGUGCAAGCGUUAAUCGGAAUUACUGGGCGUAAAGCGUGCGCAGGCGGUUUUGUAAGUCUGACGUGAAAUCCCCGGGCUCAACCUGGGAAUUGCGUUGGAGACUGCAAGGCUGGAGUCUGGCAGAGGGGGGUGGAAUUCCGCGUGUAGCAGUGAAAUGCGUAGAGAUGCGGAGGAACACCGAUGGCGAAGGCAGCCCCCUGGGCUAACACUGACGCUCAGGCACGAAAGCGUGGGGAGCAAAC
This 427-nucleotide ribosomal RNA is filed under the name uncultured bacterium. RNAcentral describes it as "bacterial SSU rRNA". It matches the Rfam family "Bacterial small subunit ribosomal RNA", at positions 354 to 773 of the family's 1533-position model. The record is from RNAcentral.